UAAAGACCUACAAAUACUGCCGGUUAAUACAAUCCAUUGAUUAAAAUCCAAAGAAUUUGGCGGUAUCUUAAAUACUCAGGGGAACCUGUACCUUAAUUUGAUAAUCCACAAAAAUUAAUCUUCAUUUUGAAAUUCAGCCUGUAUACUGCUGUCGUCAGUAAACCUCUAAAAGUAAAGUUUACAACAAUACUCAAUAUCCACGUCAAGUCAAAGUGCAGCCUAUAGUGAAGAGAGAUAUGGGUUACAAUUUAUAAAAAAAUUAAAUUAUUAAAAUAAAAAUAAUAUGAAAAUGGACUUGAUUGUAAUAUUUAUAACAUACUAAUAUAAACAAGAAUCUAAGACAUGCACACAUCGCCCGUCACUCUCAUUUAAAUUG
RNAcentral lists this ribosomal RNA (376 nucleotides) under Grania simonae. RNAcentral's name for it is "partial 12S ribosomal RNA". The record is from RNAcentral. Lineage: Eukaryota; Metazoa; Annelida; Clitellata; Enchytraeida; Enchytraeidae.